ACUGUGAGCAGCACAGGAUUGAGGAGUUGGAAGAGACCUUUAGAACAGCUGGUCAUGCCGACUGGGUGCCUGCACUAAGUUCGGCAUCAAUAUGGUGACCUCCUGGGAGCCGGGGGCCACCAAGUUGCCUAAGGAUGACUGAACUGGCCCAGGUCAGAAAGGGAGCAGGUCAGAACUCCUGCACCGACCGAUAGUGGAACUGUGUCUGGGCGGUAUAGCCAGAUCUUGGUUCUU
RNAcentral lists this small RNA (234 nucleotides) under Colobus angolensis palliatus. RNAcentral's name for it is "Metazoan signal recognition particle RNA (ENSCANG00000000226.1)". The stretch from base 56 to 212 matches the Rfam family "Metazoan signal recognition particle RNA", at positions 96 to 252 of the family's 299-position model. Rfam says of the family: The signal recognition particle (SRP) is a universally conserved ribonucleoprotein. It is involved in the co-translational targeting of proteins to membranes. The record is from RNAcentral. Lineage: Eukaryota; Metazoa; Chordata; Mammalia; Primates; Cercopithecidae.